CCUACGGGUGGCAGCAGUGAGGAAUAUUGGUCAAUGGCCGGAAGGCUGAACCAGCCAAGCCGCGUGAGGGAGGAAGGCGCAGAGCGUCGCAGACCUCUUUUGCCGGGGGACAAAAGGCCGGACGCGUCCGGUGCUGAGGGUAUCCGGCGAAAAAGCAUCGGCUAACUCCGUGCCAGCAGCCGCGGUAAUACGGAGGAUGCGAGCGUUAUCCGGAUUCAUUGGGUUUAAAGGGUGCGCAGGCGGGCCGUUAAGUCGGCGGUGAAAUCGCGGGGCUCAACCCCGCCGUGCCGUCGGAACUGGGGGCCUUGAGUGCAGCGGAGGCAUGCGGAAUGCGUGGUGUAGCGGUGAAAUGCAUAGAGAUCGCGCAGAACCCCGAUUGCGAAGGCAGCGUGCCGAGCCGCCACUGACGCUGAGGCACGAAAGCGCGGGGAGCGAACAGGAUUAGAUACCCUUGUAGUC
RNAcentral lists this ribosomal RNA (459 nucleotides) under uncultured bacterium. Its description in RNAcentral is "partial 16S ribosomal RNA". It matches the Rfam family "Bacterial small subunit ribosomal RNA", at positions 338 to 795 of the family's 1533-position model. The record is from RNAcentral.